RNAcentral lists this long non-coding RNA (302 nucleotides) under Phoenix dactylifera (date palm). RNAcentral's name for it is "long non-coding RNA (PDAC_LNC009061)". The record is from RNAcentral. Lineage: Eukaryota; Viridiplantae; Streptophyta; Magnoliopsida; Arecales; Arecaceae.
AAGCCUUAGCGCCAUGGCAGCUGCAAAGCUAGUACUCAAAUCGUUCGCCGGAGGCCUAAUCCUCUCCACCCCAUCGGCUCCCAAUACCCCCACCCCCACCACCUCCUCCUCCUUCUCCUCCUCCUCUUUCUUCCCCAUAUCGAGAGCUAUCUCCUCCCCUCCUCCGCUGCGCUCUUCGGCCAGCCGACUCCCACACAACUACAAUCCACUGCCGAAGGAGCCGGCUGCCGAAGAUCCACGACAGCAACAGCACAAGACCAUUCUCGUCGAGACCUUCCAUCGAAACAACUGCCUCAAAGCCC